Non-coding RNA from Podarcis lilfordi (Lilford's wall lizard), 73 nucleotides. The record is from the annotation of a GenBank genome assembly. Lineage: Eukaryota; Metazoa; Chordata; Lepidosauria; Squamata; Lacertidae.
GCCUCAAUAGCUCAGUCAGUAAAGCAUGAGACUUUUAAUCUCAAGGUCGUGGGUUCAAGCCCCAUGUUGGGCA